CGGCCGACUCGCUUGCUGAGUCAGUAAGUGGCGCACGGGUGAGUAACGCGUGGGUAAUCUACCCUUGAAUUGGGGAUAACAUUGCGAAAGCGAUGCUAAUACCGGAUAACAUCUCUGAAACUCCGGUUUCUGAGAUCAAAGGUGGCCUCUACAUGUAAGCUACUGUUUGAGGAUGAGCCCGCGUACCAUUAGCUUGUUGGUAGGGUAAUGGCCUACCAAGGCCGCGAUGGUUAGCUGGUCUGAGAGGAUGAUCAGCCACACUGGAACUGACACACGGUCCAGACUCCUACGGGAGGCAGCAGUGAGGAAUUUUGCGCAAUGGGGGAAACCCUGACGCAGCAACGCCGCGUGAGUGAUGAAGGCUUUCGGGUCGUAAAGCUCUGUCAAGUGGGAAGAACCCACGUGGUGCUAAUAUCACCAUGUGCUGACGGUACCACUGAAGGAAGCACCGGCUAACUCCGUGCCAGCAGCCGCGGUAAUACGGGGGGUGCAAGCGUUAUUCGGAAUUACUGGGCGUAAAGAGCGCGUAGGCGGUCUCUUAAGUCAGGUGUGAAAGCCCGGGGCUCAACCCCGGAAGUGCACUUGAAACUAAGAGACUUGAGUAUGGGAGAGGGAAGUGGAAUUCCUGGUGUAGCGGUGAAAUGCGUAGA
Molecule: ribosomal RNA, 650 nt
Filed under: uncultured bacterium
Lineage: Bacteria
Description: bacterial SSU rRNA
Rfam family: Bacterial small subunit ribosomal RNA
Source: RNAcentral